Molecule: unclassified non-coding RNA, 378 nt
Filed under: plant metagenome
Description: partial contains 5.8S ribosomal RNA, internal transcribed spacer 2, and large subunit ribosomal RNA
Rfam family: 5.8S ribosomal RNA (bases 1-105)
Source: RNAcentral
GAAAUGCGAUAAGUAAAGUGAAUUGCAGAAUUCAGUGAAUCAUCGAAUCUUUGAACGCACCUUGCGCUCCUUGGUAUUCCUUGGAGCAUGCCUGUUUGAGUAUCAUGAAAUCUUCAAAGUAAAUCUUUUGUUAACUCAAUUGGUUUCUACUUUGGUAUUGGAGGUCUUUGCAGCUUCACACCUGCUCCUCUUUGUUCAUUAGCUGGAUCUCAGUGUUAUGCUUGGUUCCACUCGGCGUGAUAAGUUAUCUAUCGCUGAGGACACUGUAAAAGGUGGCCAAGGUAAAUGCAGAUGAACCGCUUCUAAUAGUCCAUUGACUUGGACAAUACUUUUAUGAUCUGAUCUCAAAUCAGGUAGGACUACCCGCUGAACUUAAGC